GUCCACGCCGUAAACGAUGGGCACUAGGUGUGGGAGGUGUCGACUCCUCCCGUGCCGCCGCUAACGCAUUAAGUGCCCCGCCUGGGGAGUACGGCCGCAAGGCUAAAACUCAAAGGAAUUGACGGGGGCCCGCACAAGCAGCGGAGCAUGUGGUUUAAUUCGACGCAACGCGAAGAACCUUACCUGGGUUUGACAUGUUGGUGACCGCCAUGGAAACAUGGCUUUCCUUCGGGACACCAUCACAGGUGGUGCAUGGCUGUCGU
Molecule: ribosomal RNA, 263 nt
Filed under: uncultured bacterium
Lineage: Bacteria
Description: partial 16S ribosomal RNA
Rfam family: Bacterial small subunit ribosomal RNA
Source: RNAcentral